CCUACGGGAGGCAGCAGUGGGGAAUCUUGCGCAAUGGGCGAAAGCCUGACGCAGCAACGCCGCGUGCGGGAUGACGGCCUUCGGGUUGUAAACCGCUUUCAGUGGGGACGAACCAAGACGGUACCCACAGAAGAAGCCCCGGCCAACUACGUGCCAGCAGCCGCGGUAACACGUAGGGGGCGAGCGUUGUCCGGAUUUAUUGGGCGUAAAGAGCUCGUAGGCGGUUCGAUAAGUCGGGUGUGAAACCUCCAGGCUCAACCUGGAGACGCCACCCGAUACUGUUGUGACUAGAGUCCAGUAGGGGAGCGUGGAAUUCCUGGUGUAGCGGUGAAAUGCGCAGAUAUCAGGAGGAACACCAGUGGCGAAGGCGGCGCUCUGGGCUGGAACUGACGCUGAGGAGCGAAAGCGUGGGGAGCGAACAGGAUUAGAUACCCUGGUAGUCCACGCCGUAAACGUUGGGUACUAGGUGUGGGGUCUUAUCAACGGAUUCCGUGCCGCAGCUACGACAUAACGUACCCGCCGUCGGGAGGUACGGCCGCGAGGACGUAAACCUACAANAGAAUUAGACGGCGUGAGACGUCGCCGACGGACGACGACGAGGGAGGUAGG
Molecule: ribosomal RNA, 609 nt
Filed under: uncultured bacterium
Lineage: Bacteria
Description: bacterial SSU rRNA
Rfam family: Bacterial small subunit ribosomal RNA (bases 1-521)
Source: RNAcentral